UCCUACGGGGGGCAGCAGUGAGGAAUAUUGGUCAAUGGGCGAGAUCCUGAACCAGCCAAGCCGCGUGAGGGAAGACGGCCCUAUGGGUUGUAAACCUCUUUUGUCGGAGAACAAAACCCGGGACGUGUCCCGGACUGCGUGUAUCCGAAGAAAAAGCAUCGGCUAACUCCGUGCCAGCAGCCGCGGUAAUACGGAGGAUGCGAGCGUUAUCCGGAUUUAUUGGGUUUAAAGGGUGCGUAGGCGGUCCGUUAAGUCAGCAGUAAAAUUGCGGGGCUCAACCCCGUCCAGCCGUUGAAACUGGCAGG
Molecule: ribosomal RNA, 305 nt
Filed under: uncultured bacterium
Lineage: Bacteria
Description: bacterial SSU rRNA
Rfam family: Bacterial small subunit ribosomal RNA
Source: RNAcentral